This is a long non-coding RNA of Alosa alosa (allis shad), 656 nucleotides long. RefSeq lists it as uncharacterized. Lineage: Eukaryota; Metazoa; Chordata; Actinopteri; Clupeiformes; Clupeidae. The record is from RefSeq and is a predicted model, not a curated record. The transcript is spliced from 2 exons.
GCCCAAGUGGUUGCGUGGUGGUCCCAAGGUGGUGGAGUCCCCUCACUUUUCCUGCUGUAGUACAUUGGGUGUUUGUCUUUUGGAUUGAAGUAAUCACGUGUGGUGUGGAUCUUCCGGGCCUUAACCCCUCGCACCCCGAGAUCUCUUUCUACAGACUGCUGUCUAACGAGGAUCAGGUGAGGGGCGGAGACACAGGCACAAGGAACAGAAACACAAACAAAGGAGCACAUGGCACAAGACACAGGAAGUAAACAAAGCAAACAGGAAGACACAAGAGGAGCAGACGUGGAAAAACACUAGACAAGGAAAACAAGACAGGAACAGAUCCUUACAAGUGCAUUCCCUCUAUAUUGUAUCGGAGUUAGACUUUUUAGCAAAAGACGCUAAUUUAGUUUGUUUAUUAUUGAACUUCUCAACUGUUGGGGGACCCCAAGAGCGAAGCUUCUUUAGUGCUGCUUUAAUUAAUUCUAAGGGACAUCUAGGUAGGCUAAUGCAAGCUAUGGUACAAACUUUGUAGAAUGGUACAAGUCUACAAAUCUAUAUUCUAUUAUAGUGUUAUGUGUAUGGAAUGCUUUUCUUUUAGCCAAAUAAUUAUAAUAAAAUGUAAGUGUGACCUUUGUUGUAACGGAUAAGUAAUAAUAAACUAGAAAAUUUAA